RNAcentral lists this non-coding RNA (23 nucleotides) under Cricetulus griseus (Chinese hamster). The record is from RNAcentral. Lineage: Eukaryota; Metazoa; Chordata; Mammalia; Rodentia; Cricetidae.
GCACAAUGUGAUCCACCGUCAAG